Aphidius gifuensis is the source of this 202-nucleotide long non-coding RNA. RefSeq lists it as uncharacterized. NCBI's taxonomy places the organism in Eukaryota, Metazoa, Arthropoda, Insecta, Hymenoptera, Braconidae. The record is from RefSeq and is a predicted model, not a curated record. The transcript has 2 exons.
AUUUUAAUUGGACCUGGUUCAUUGAACAACAACACUUUGGAAUUCACAGGAAAUAUACUUCAAGAGCCAUAUUUUAAUAUCAACCAUACCAAGUACAUGAAUUAUGGUACACUAGGAUCCAAAGUUGCCAGCAGCAUAAUUGAAAGCUUGAACAUCAACUGGACAAGCAGCAAGAUGCAUCAACAAAUAGUCCAAUGCAGAU